RNAcentral lists this ribosomal RNA (885 nucleotides) under Porites sp. XNL-2012. RNAcentral's name for it is "partial 12S ribosomal RNA". It matches the Rfam family "Bacterial small subunit ribosomal RNA", at positions 289 to 1533 of the family's 1533-position model. Lineage: Eukaryota; Metazoa; Cnidaria; Anthozoa; Scleractinia; Poritidae. The record is from RNAcentral.
GGUUUAAUGAAGUUGUUGGCCGCGAGGCAGCAGUAACAAAUUUUGUGCAAUAUACGAAAGUAAGACACAGAGAGGGCACCUUUUCUAGUCCGUCAAAUUAAGUGCCAGCAGACGCGGUGAAACUUAAGGGCUAGUCUUAUAGGCAAAAGCGUAAAGGGUGUGAUAGGCCGCCUUAUUUAAGAGAGUAAAUGGAAUUUUUCUGUAAUGGUGGUAUGUGUAAAUAGGAAAAAGAACUUUAGACGUGAAGACUAUUUACUUCUAAGAUUAUAAUGUGUUGGCUAAAACACGAGAGUGUGGGGAGCAAACAGGAUUAGGUACCCUGGUAGUCCAUACUGUAAAUAAUGAAAAAGAUGUGAAGCAAUUCUAAAAGGUAAGAACUUUUCCGCUUGAGUAGUACGAUCGCAAGAUUAAAAUUCAAAAAACUUGGCUGUUCACUGUUUUGAUUAGAGGAGCGUGUCGUUUAAUUCGAUAGUCCGCGAGAGACCUUACCCAAACUUGAAUCCCUCAUUGACAGGUAUUGCAUGGCCGUCGUCAAUUUGUGUAUUAAACAUAAAACAAAUUCAACCCAGUGGUUUGUCUAUUGGAUGAAGUCAGGUCUUAUUGUCCUAAUGUUUGGGGAUUAGAUGCGCUACAUUUUUUUAUACAAUGGGAAACUUUGAAUGUGAAACCCAAAAAUAAGAGUUCGGAAGGUGUCUGGAAUAUAACGGAAAGUUGGAUUUAAUAGUAAUUGAAAAGUAGAGCGUUUCAAUGAAAUUUAUUCAGUGUUAGUACAAAUUGCCCGUCGCCUUUGCUUAGAAAGGUUGUUUGGUUGCCCCUCAAGAGGGUUCCUAAUAUCUUCGAGGUAGAGUAAGUCGUAACAUAGUAAGAGAGAGAGGGACACAGGGC